CCUACGGGAGGCAGCAGUAGGGAAUCUUCGGCAAUGGGCGCAAGCCUGACCGAGCGAUGCCGCGUGGGGGAUGAAGGCCUUCGGGUUGUAAACCCCUUUUCUGGGGGAAGAAGAACAGUCGUAGGACUGUUUUGACGGUACCCCAGGAAGAAGCAUCGGCUAACUCUGUGCCAGCAGCCGCGGUAAGACAGAGGAUGCGAGCGUUAUCCGGAAUCACUGGGCGUAAAGGGCGCCUAGGCGGCCUUGCAUGUCUGGGGUGAAAUCCCUCGGCUCAACUGGGGGAGGUCCUCGGAAACUGUAAGGCUGGGGCCCAGGAGAGGGGAGCGGAACUUCUAGAGUAGCGGUGAAAUGCGUAGAUAUCGGGAGGAAGGCCGGUGGCGAAGGCGGCCCUCUGGCGCUUGACUGACGCUGAGGCGCGAAAGCGUGGGGAGCAAACAGGAUUAGAUACCCUUGUAGU
This 457-nucleotide ribosomal RNA is filed under the name uncultured bacterium. Its description in RNAcentral is "partial 16S ribosomal RNA". It matches the Rfam family "Bacterial small subunit ribosomal RNA", at positions 338 to 794 of the family's 1533-position model. The record is from RNAcentral.